GACGAUUUCGAGGAAUUUAAUUCACAAGAUUUGACUGAAGCUUCUUGUUCGACGCCUACAACAUCGGCACGUAGUCAAUCGUCCCUGUCAGUCCUCCCAAGGCCACCUUCAACAGCCAAUUCAGAUAAAUCUGUUUUUAAAGAUACAGUGGAUGACAGUACAGUUAUUAAGAAGAUCCUAAAAGAAGUGUUUGCAAGCCUGGAAGUUUUGAAGAUUAAUCAGCGACAACAAACUACUCUGCUGGACCUACUGGUUUCACGUUCGAAUGCUGGGACUGUAAAAGAAACUUCUUCAGAAUUAGAAGGAAACCUUGGUUUACCUCUAAAAAGUUUGGCUGCUCUAGAAAGGUUCGAAAUUGACCUAAAAGAUCAAUCAACCAAAAGCAAACUGAUCAACAUUUAUUCGUUAGUGGGAGGCGGAUCACUGGCAAACGUAGUUAACCGCAUUUUCCACCGUAUUUUGGAUGAUGAAGUUGCUCAGCAUUUCUGUUUCAGAGGCCAAAACGCAGGAAAAAGGGCGUUUGAACACCUAGGUAGGGGCCGUUCACAAAA
This is a long non-coding RNA of Daphnia magna, 551 nucleotides long. RefSeq lists it as uncharacterized. The record is from RefSeq and is a predicted model, not a curated record. Lineage: Eukaryota; Metazoa; Arthropoda; Branchiopoda; Diplostraca; Daphniidae. The transcript is spliced from 3 exons.